CAUGAAGCUGGAUUCGCUAGUAAUCGCGCAUCAGCCACGGCGCGGUGAAUACGUUCCCGGGCCUUGUACACACCGCCCGUCAAGCCAUGGAAGCCGGGAGUGCCUGAAGUGCGUGACCGCAAGGAGCGUCCUAAGGCAAUACCGGUGACUGGGGCUAAGUCGUAACAAGGUAAC
Molecule: ribosomal RNA, 174 nt
Filed under: uncultured bacterium
Lineage: Bacteria
Description: partial 16S ribosomal RNA
Rfam family: Bacterial small subunit ribosomal RNA
Source: RNAcentral